CUAGCUUCAGCGAUGGAUCGGUCGAUUCGCGUAUCGAUGAAAAACGCAGCUAGCUGCGUUAUUUACCACGAAUUGCAGACGCUUA
This 85-nucleotide ribosomal RNA is filed under the name Necator americanus (New World hookworm). RNAcentral's name for it is "partial 5.8S rRNA". It matches the Rfam family "5.8S ribosomal RNA", at positions 1 to 84 of the family's 154-position model. Rfam says of the family: 5.8S ribosomal RNA (5.8S rRNA) is a component of the large subunit of the eukaryotic ribosome. It is transcribed by RNA polymerase I as part of the 45S precursor that also contains 18S and 28S rRNA. Lineage: Eukaryota; Metazoa; Nematoda; Chromadorea; Rhabditida; Ancylostomatidae. The record is from RNAcentral.